UACUUGGCGAUCAUAGCGUUAUGGAACCACCUGAUCCCAUGCCGAACUCAGUAGUGAAAUGUAUCAGCGCCGAUGGUAGUGUGGGGUUUCCUCAUGUGAGAGUAGGACAUCGCCAAGUUU
Molecule: ribosomal RNA, 120 nt
Filed under: Candidatus Enterovibrio escicola
Lineage: Bacteria; Pseudomonadati; Pseudomonadota; Gammaproteobacteria; Vibrionales; Vibrionaceae
Source: RNAcentral